CGAGCUGCUGAAGGUGGUCUACUGCCUGAGUCUGCUGGGCCACUUCCCCGCCACCCCACUGGAACAGCUGCUGCAGCAGGAGACACUGGAGGAGAUCAGUGCCAGAGAUUUGCAGUAUUCUGCGUACCCCCGAUCUCUUUCUGUUAUGGUAGCUCCCGUCCCCAUGGCAACCUGGCUAUCAAGAUGCGUCAUUUGGCGAUCCUAGGAUACACCCCAGUCGUGUUGUCGGAGCACGAGCUGCACAAUCUAUCCGAGGAGGAGAGAACAGAGCUCCUCAGAACACGGAUCUUUCCAGAACAGGAAAGACCUGCUAAAGUCGAUCAAAUGACAGACUGACGGACAUGGAGAGAGGGGGGACAUGGCUCAUUCAGUCAAGAGAACCUCGGCCUGGUUCUGUGGUCAGUCUGGUCACGAUCCGGUCCUGUUUCGGUCCUGUCAUUCGUUGCACAGGAACUGCUGGUAUACUGAAUUGACUACAUGAAGACUGUUGUCGAAAAUAUCUCUGUGUGAGUGUCUGGACUAUACAGUUAACUGCAUAAUGUCUCACUAUUUAACUAGAAAGUAAAUGGGAACCAACUCCCAUUGCUCCUCAUAUUUGUGAGGGAAUCUGUGUUGGAGCGUAAAUGUUCCAGUUUAAGUAAGUUAAAUCCUGUUGAAGUAACUUUAAAGUUAAGUAACAUAACUUUAAACAUCUUAAUACCUUGCAUGGGUUAUUCCUAAAUAGUCUAAAUUCAUAUCCUCGCCUCCUCUCCUUCAUCUGCACUGAUCUGAAGGAACUGACCAGCCUAAUCAGUGCAGAUGAAGGAAAGGAGAUGAGGAGAAGAAGCUACUCUAGACUAUUGAGACAGAGAGCCAUGUUUCUACUGGGUUUGUGUGUCUCGUUUAGAAUACGUUGUCACUUGAGAUGAAUCUGUGGCCUUGCCAAAAGUGAGGCCCAAUCCUAAAUGGACCCCUAGACCUUACACCCUGUGGAGAUUGGAUAUGAUUUGAUGGGUUUAAGGAAUAACGUGAAACUUCAACCUAGCCUACCAGAGGGCCAGUUGGAAUUAAUUACCAAAUUGCUUCCACCCGUUAAAUCCUCCUAGAUCUCCUCAAGUGGAUAGGAUGAGGGUCUAGGGGUUGAUUUGGGAUUGGGCCUGACAUUGUUCAGAUUGAUGCCAUUGAAAUGUGUUGAGUCGAGGUGGUUAUGCGAACUGAUGUUAUAAUAAAAAAUGGCUUAUAAUCAUGACUGUCACUUAAGCUGAAAAUAGAAUGUCAUCCACUAUAUACAGUACCAGUCAAAAGUUUGGACACCUACUCAUUCCAGGCUUUUUCUUUA
Molecule: long non-coding RNA, 1318 nt
Organism: Salmo salar (Atlantic salmon)
Lineage: Eukaryota; Metazoa; Chordata; Actinopteri; Salmoniformes; Salmonidae
Source: RefSeq, a predicted model, not a curated record